Molecule: unclassified non-coding RNA, 5404 nt
Filed under: Gigantopelta aegis
Lineage: Eukaryota; Metazoa; Mollusca; Gastropoda; Neomphalida; Peltospiridae
Description: f-box/LRR-repeat protein 7-like, transcript variant X1
Source: RNAcentral
UUGGUGUUUCUUGCUAGAUGAAUUUUUUAUAUAACAACACAAAACGAUCAAGAAUAGCCUGCCAGUGAAGUGUCGACCCAAACCCUUGUUCAAAUACAACUUAAGAAAAUUGGAACGUCCUGUUGGAAUUAAAACUAACCAAUACAACGCACCUGUGCGCUACACGUUGCAAUCUAUUCCGGUGGUAGUUUUGGGGUCAUUAUAAAGGGUAAACAAAACAUCAUGUGUUAUCUUCGCUUCACGUUGAAGUGGUGCUUUGCUGUAUGUCUUCUAGCAUACUAGAUAACGACACUGGUGGAUUUAUUAUCAAACAGGCAGAAUUUUUAUCUCACAAAAUAAACAGUUUUGUUGGCCUAACUGAAUCUUCUCUACCUGUAACAAGAUUGGAUAACGGUGUUGCACCUUAAUGCAGUGUUAAACAGUGAAUGUGUGUGAUUCUAUUUGAAUGAUUUGAGACUUCCAAACCAGGGAAAUGGUUUUACUUCUAUACCUUUGAUCUUACAGAAUUCUGGGUUUUCUACUUACACAAAACCUCUAGGUGGUGAAUGUAUGUGAUUCUGUUUGAAUGAUUUGAGUCUUCCAAACCUGGGAAUCUUUUAGUACUUUCAUGACCUUGGUUUUCGAUCGUCAAAAUACAUAAACUCUGCAAGUUGUGGAUGUGUGUGAUUAUAAUUGAAUCUACCAAUCCAGGGCAUCUUUAGUACAUUCAAACGCUGACUGUACUGAACUGGUUCUUGACCGUGAAAAUAUAUCAAAUCUGCAAGUAACAGAUAUAUGGAUGUGCGCGGGCAUGGUCUAAGAACAGUAAUUAAUCGAGUGAGAGAUAACUCUGAAAUAGCACAAAUGUCGCUGACAUUCCGGUACUACACGAGAGGAUUGCAUUAAAUGAGUUUUUAUGUUCAUUGUAAUAAUUCAAAUUGUUUGUGAGCAUAUCUAGAUUCUGGAAUCUGAAAUCUGGAGGAACCGAAUUCAACCCACUGACUGGUGAUAUCGGGUGUGUGUCGUCUGCGGUAUAGUGAUAUCACAAUAGAAAGGUGAAUGUCGCAGAUUGAAGACCAUCACUUUCAGUGAGGAUAUAACUCUGAUUUUAACCACUGAAACAGUUUUCUGGAUUAACAUGAGAAAAGGGUGAUGAUAUUUCAUGAAGUGUUGCAAAGGAUCUAAAAGUUUCGAAAACUCACAUUGUUGAUUUUGCUUUCCUGCAAGGAACUAGAUAGAUUAAUCGUUGACUUGGUGUUAAUUGAGUGGAAGAUAACUCUAAAAUAGCACAGAUGGCGCUGUCAGUCCGGUACUACACUAAGUCGGAUACGGAUUCAGCUCUGUACGUUUCGAUCUCAGUGCCGACGGAUGAAGAGUCUGGGGCAGAAACCGACAACACGUACGAAUCCAUCAAAUCAUGGGCUCUGUCAGAUCAGAUAGCCACGCCCGGAUCGGAAUCUAAUCAUGACUCGAGUUCGGGAAUUGCAUCCGACAUCGCGAGUUACAAUUAUCCACCCACCGCCAUGACGACAUUCAAAGGGAGUGCGCACUCUGACCGCCAUUCAAGCGACUCGUGUAAAUCGAAGACUGUAUCGUUCGCUAGCUCGACCGAUUCCAAAUCAUCCAACUACUACGUCCAGAUGCACACCAAACAGAGAGUCCGACACCACCCUCCAUCUCCCGUGGUGUCGAAAUCGGAACGCGCGACGCAUCUCUACAAAAACACUGUCUAUGACCCGCGAUACAUCGAGUCUCAGAUGGACGCGAUGAAGUCGAAGAUGAAAUACAUGGAUCUUCAAGACACGGACAAACUGAUGUGGACGGCGAAAGGAAAAUAUCCAUACGUCCGUCCGUCACCCUUUGAACUUCUCACCGACGACAUUGUUCUUCGGAUUCUGUCGAACCUGCCCACGGACCAUCUGUGUCGGAGUUCCCGCGUCUGUCUGCGCUGGUACCGACUGAUUUGGGAGCACCCGUUGUUGUGGACGAGCAUCGUGAUAAACAAUGACUCAGUGAAUAUCGACAAGGCGUUGAAAUACCUGAUGCGCCGACUGAGUUACAACACGCCCAAGGUUUGUGUGAUUCUCGAGCGGAUGAACCUGAACGGGUGUCACCAGCUCACGGACAAGGGGUUGAGGGUGAUCGCAAGGCGGUGCCCCGAGCUGAGGUACCUCGAGUUGAAGGGGUGCUUCAACGUCACGAACGUUGCGCUGUUUGACGUCGUGUCGAGUUGUGUUAAUCUGGAACAUCUUGAUGUCACAGGCUGUCCCCUUGUCACCUGCAUCAGUCUGACAGACAAACUGCUAUCGGAGAGCACAUCCCACAACCAGCACCAGAUCUAUCUCCGGUAUCUCGACAUGAGCGACUGCGCCGCGCUGGAAGAUGUCGGCCUCGGGGUGAUCACGUCGCAUUGCAGUCAGCUCCAGUUCCUCUACCUUCGCCGCUGCAUGCGCAUCACCGACACCGGCAUUCGACACAUCGCCCACAACUGCCUCUACCUUAGAGAGUUCAGCGUCAGCGACUGCAAGAGAGUUACGGACCUUGGCUUGUGGGAGCUGUCGAAACUGGGCGACCACUUGCGCUACCUUAGCGUGGCGAAGUGCGACAAGGUUUCGGACGUUGGGGUCAUGUACGUGGCUAAACACUGUGCGAAAUUGCGUUACCUGAAUGUUCGCGGCUGUGAAGCUGUUUCGGACGAAUCUUUGGAGUAUAUUUCGUGUAACUGUCCCAGACUGCGAUCGCUGGACGUAGGAAAGUGUGACAUAACCGACGAGGGGCUGCAGUUGUUGGCCGAAAACUGUCCUCAGUUGAGGAAACUCAGUGUGAAGUCGUGCGAGGGAAUCACGGACAAAGGGAUCGCGAUUGUCGCCUAUCAUUGCCGCGGCCUAGCCCAGCUCAACAUUCAGGACUGCGAUCUAUCGGUGGAAACGUACAGGACAGUGAAAAAAUACUGCAGGGGUUGUAUCAUAGAACACACAAAUCCUGCGUUUUAGAAUCUAUGGUGGUUACAUACCCGGAUGGCUAAAAAAAUACUGCAGGGGUUGUAUCAUAGAACACACAAAUCCUGUUUUUUAGCAUCUAUGGUGGUUGCGUACCCGGACGGCUAAAAAAAUACUGCAGGGGUUGUAUCAUAGAACACACAAAUCCUGUUUCUUAGCAUCUAUGGUGGUUACGUACCCGGAUGGCUAAAAUAAUACUGCAGGGGUUGUAUCAUAGAACACACAAAUUCUGCGUUUUAGAAUCUUACAGUAUCCGAUUCUCAGCCACGUUUACAUUUGGAACUAUAGUUAUCAUUAUCAGCAAGGGGAUUGAUCACCCUGAAUGUAACUGAUAUAUCAUAGAGCACACAAAUUGUUAGAAUCUUAUACAGGGGCCUAGCAUGGGAUUUCCAGGUGGUAUGCAGACUUUUUCGGUGAUGGAAUAAAACGCUAUUGGCAUUGAGCAUACACACAUUUACAUCAUAUAUUUUAAUAAUUAAAAAAAAUAUUUGUAAUCUUACAGGUGGUAUGCAGCUGCGUACCUGUGUAUAUGGAAGCUAGACCCCUGUUAUAUUGGCAUACCUUUAUCUCAUGCUCAGCCAUGUGUACAUUUGAUAACCAUGGUUCUCUCCCCUUAUCAGUGAGCCGCUUCCAGGAUGCAGCUCAGUGGAAGAGCACAUGCCUGAAAUAUGAUGCAUCAUGGGAUUGAUCACCCGGAAUGUACAGCCAAUGGUUUUGGGGAUCCCCCCCCCCCCCCAUCCCAUCAAAUAUUCCAUACAGACUAGCUCAUACUAUCUAAUCAAGUGUUCCAUGUGGACUGGCUUAUACUUUUGUGGGUUAACCCCACCCCCUAUAUCCAGUGGCAGAUCCAGAAAAUCCAUUUGGGGGGGGGGGGGGGAGGGGGUACAAUGACAUGAGGCAGAAUGCCAAGGGAACUUUGGGGAGGGUGAAAAUUAAAAUAUAAUAAAAUUAUAACUGUCGCAAAAUUUAGGGGGUGGGCCCGGGCACCUGGGCCCCCCUAGAUCUGCCUCUAAUAUAUUCCUUGACUGGUACAUCAAUGAGUGGAAUAACGAGUGGACAGAGGAGAAAUAAGGAGUGUGUUUUAGCCCCUAGGGAUGUGUUUGCCAUUUAUUAAAUUGACAGAUAUGAAACAUUCCAGACUCCAGUGCUAUCUGAAAACUGUUCCUGCCCAUGUUCUUGGAUAAAAAACUCGCAACAACUUCCACUUGUUUAUUUCUCAAUGUUAUGUCGCUUUUUUAUAUUUGCUUCUUCUGGGUUUUUUUAAUCUGCAAAUCAACCUCCAGACAGUGUUAGGGGGUCGUUCAAAUAUUACAUUGACAGACAGAAUAGUUUUGUAAAUGCCAAAUUUCUAGGGGUUAAACUCUGUGCAAAUCCACUACAGUCAAUCCAGUGGUGCUGCGAGGGUAGUGGCCAUGGGGGCCACACCCUCCCCCCACACCCAUCAAAUAUUUUUCUUUUAAACUUACAUUUUAUAAAAUCAUGCAUACAUAAAUAUUGUGGGUGCCCCCCCCCCCCCCCUCCACCCCCCUACAUAAAAUCCUGUGAAUUAACAGCAAGUAUUCAACCUUUCACAAAUAAAAUAAAUGACGGAGAUAGUACCAGUAGAUUUUUGACAAAAUGCAGAUAUUAGUGUAAUUAAACUAAUUUAGUUUGGGUUUUUCCCUCUCUACGAAAUAAAGGUUUAGAGCAAAACGACCGGCACACAAGUUUAAAGGUAUGUGGACUUCUUUCAACAUUGUGUGGUACUCCUAGUUGCCUGCUUUCCAUUCAAGCAAUUUCGCACACAUUUCCGCGAGAAAAUUUAUCGAUUAUUCAAUUACAUGGGACCUUUUCCACAUAUGCGAUUCCUAGCACAGGCAUUCAGUGCAUUGGGAAAUAAAAUAGUUUUUCAGCAUGCUUAUGUCAUAAUGUGAAGAAUUUACUUUCGACUUAACUACACAGAGUUGUGUGUGGGUAAUUUUUGGCAUGCUUCCAUCAGGGAACUGUUCAAGUACGUCUGUCCUAGGCACAGCCUCCGACUUCGCCAGAGAGGGUUGUCCAUGUCAGGUAAAGUACACUUCGAAUUUGUAGUUGAAAUAUACUGAUAAAUAAAUUUCACAAUCCUAGAUGUUAAGAAAUGAUAAUUUCAAGAAGGAAAUUGAAACAAAUUCUAACCACCAAUACCAUAGUGUUGUUAGAUUCCAACCACCAAUACCAUAGUGUUGUUAGAUUCCAACCACCAAUACCAUAGUGUUGUUAGAUUCCAACCACCAAUACCACAGUGUUGUUAGAUUCUAACCACCAAUACCACAGUGUUGUUAGAUUCUAACCACCAAUACCAUAGUGUUGUUAGAACACCACAUACCUUAAAUGUGUUCCACUGUAGAUAACGAUGUAUGUACAUAAUGGCAAAUUCAUGUACAUGAAAAUAAAAUAUUUAUAUCAAG